AAUAGAUAAUUGGAUAAGAGAAGUUAACCUGUGGUGUCCUGAACUCCAAGUCUUAUUUUAUUAUGGGUCUCAGGAGGACAGGAGGCAUCUGAGAAUGGAUAUCCAUAAUAAAGUGGUGGAUUUCAAUGUGAUUGUAACAACGUAUAAUUGUGCAAUUAGCAGUGCAGAAGAUCGCAGCCUGUUCCGACGAAUGAACCUAAAUUAUGCAAUCUUUGAUGAAGGUCACAUGUUGAAAAACAUGGGUUCUGUACGCUAUCAGCAUCUGAUGACUAUUAAUGUAAGACUUUCAUUUUGUGC
Molecule: long non-coding RNA, 297 nt
Organism: Sceloporus undulatus (fence lizard)
Lineage: Eukaryota; Metazoa; Chordata; Lepidosauria; Squamata; Phrynosomatidae
Exons: 3
Source: RefSeq, a predicted model, not a curated record